RNAcentral lists this ribosomal RNA (606 nucleotides) under Aurantiacibacter arachoides. RNAcentral's name for it is "bacterial SSU rRNA". It matches the Rfam family "Bacterial small subunit ribosomal RNA", at positions 62 to 714 of the family's 1533-position model. The record is from RNAcentral. Lineage: Bacteria; Pseudomonadati; Pseudomonadota; Alphaproteobacteria; Sphingomonadales; Erythrobacteraceae.
UCGAACGAGACCUUCGGGUCUAGUGGCGCACGGGUGCGUAACGCGUGGGAACCUGCCCUUAGGUUCGGAAUAACAGUGAGAAAUCGCUGCUAAUACCGGAUAAUGUCUUCGGACCAAAGAUUUAUCGCCUAUGGAUGGGCCCGCGUAGGAUUAGCUAGUUGGUGAGGUAAUGGCUCACCAAGGCGACGAUCCUUAGCUGGUCUUAGAGGAUGAUCAGCCACACUGGGACUGAGACACGGCCCAGACUCCUACGGGAGGCAGCAGUGGGGAAUAUUGGACAAUGGGCGAAAGCCUGAUCCAGCAAUGCCGCGUGAGUGAUGAAGGCCUUAGGGUUGUAAAGCUCUUUUACUGGGGAUGAUAAUGACAGUACCCAGAGAAUAAGCCCCGGCUAACUCCGUGCCAGCAGCCGCGGUAAUACGGAGGGGGCUAGCGUUGUUCGGAAAUACUGGGCGUAAAGCGCACGUAGGCGGCGUCGCAAGUCAGGGGUGAAAUCCCGGGGCUCAACCCCGGAACUGCCCUUGAAACUGCAAUGCUAGAAUCUUGGAGAGGCGAGUGGAAUUCCGAGUGUAGAGGUGAAAUUCGUAGAUAUUCGGAAGAACACCAGUG